Mytilus californianus (California mussel) is the source of this 678-nucleotide long non-coding RNA. RefSeq lists it as uncharacterized. The record is from RefSeq and is a predicted model, not a curated record. The transcript is spliced from 2 exons. NCBI's taxonomy places the organism in Eukaryota, Metazoa, Mollusca, Bivalvia, Mytilida, Mytilidae.
UAACCCGCAAACCAGGAAGGCGUGGACACACUAUUGUAAGAGAUGGGACUUCAUACCAAGCACUGGUCAUAGACUUUGUUCCGCCAACUUUACAAAUGCAUGUUACGAUCGUGACCCAGAAGUUAUGAAGAAUCUCGAGGGUUGUCCUACCAUGAAGCCAAAACUCCGUCCAAAUGCGGUACCUGACAUUCCAUGGACACAACCAACAACAGCCGAGUCAAGGCCACCUAUACCUAAGCGGGGAGCUGAUGAGAAGCGGAGAAAGGCUGACAUCCUACAGCUUGCAUAUUGCUUGAAAGAUCGUCAAUGUCGGACUCUUCGGAUGACGAAUUUAUAUCUUCUACUUGAUUAUUUUCAACAAGUAACGGCUCAAACUGAUACGGUCGAAUAUCUUAAGUUUGAGAGUUGUCUUGAAAACUGCUGUCAACACCGUCCAUUGUUUAAUUAUGCAGAAAUGUGAUCGACUUCGUCCAUAUUGAGACAUUUUCUCAGCUUGUAUCCACUGACGUCAUCACGAUCACGUGACCGGUAUCUAAUUAAAAAUCAAAGAUUACGACAAGCGCUGGAUUAUUUGACCAUAAAAAGUCCGUUUAAUGAGGUUUUGACAAGAAAAAUUUAUUAAAAUAUGUUUUUUGACCAAUAUUAAUUAAUUAAUUAAAAAAUAAAAAAAAUUAAAAA